AUGUACAAAAAGUGGAAAAAUAGUAGACCAGUUUAAACAGGUGGGUUUUGAGGAGGGAUUUGAAUGAUGCGAUAUUAUCAGACUGCCGGAUGUGUGGGGGGAGUGAGUUCCAUAGCCUGGGAGCAGAGCAGCUGAAUGCCCUAGCUUCCAUGGUGCUGAGGCGUGAGGUGGGGGUGGUCAGAAGUCCGGCUGAUGAUGAGCGGAGGGA
Molecule: long non-coding RNA, 208 nt
Organism: Sebastes umbrosus (honeycomb rockfish)
Lineage: Eukaryota; Metazoa; Chordata; Actinopteri; Perciformes; Sebastidae
Exons: 3
Source: RefSeq, a predicted model, not a curated record